This 469-nucleotide ribosomal RNA is filed under the name uncultured bacterium. RNAcentral describes it as "partial 16S ribosomal RNA". It matches the Rfam family "Bacterial small subunit ribosomal RNA", at positions 28 to 507 of the family's 1533-position model. The record is from RNAcentral.
GACGAACGCUGGCGGCGUGCUUAACACAUGCAAGUCGAACGGAAAGGCCCUGCUUGCAGGGUGCUCGAGUGGCGAACGGGUGAGUAACACGUGGGUGAUCUGCCCCUUACUUUGGGAUAAGCCUGGGAAACUGGGUCUAAUACUGGAUAGGACCAUGCUGUAGGUGGUGUGGUGGAAAGAUUAGUUUCGGUAAGGGAUGAGCUCGCGGCCUAUCAGCUUGUUGGUGGGGUAAUGGCCUACCAAGGCGUCGACGGGUAGCCGGCCUGAGAGGGUGGACGGCCACAUUGGGACUGAGAUACGGCCCAGACUCCUACGGGAGGCAGCAGUGUGGAAUAUUGCACAAUGGGCGCAAGCCUGAUGCAGCGACGCCGCGUGGGGGAUGACGGCCUUCGGGUUGUAAACUCCUUGCAGCCAUGACGAAGCCCUUGUGGUGACGGUAGUGGUAGAAGAAGCACCGGCUAACUACGUG